RNA transcript from Brassica rapa (field mustard), 1771 nucleotides. It is a transcript of the gene named alpha N-terminal protein methyltransferase 1, with no coding region annotated. The record is from RefSeq and is a predicted model, not a curated record. NCBI's taxonomy places the organism in Eukaryota, Viridiplantae, Streptophyta, Magnoliopsida, Brassicales, Brassicaceae.
AAAAUAUAUAUUUAUUUUUCUUAAGAAUAUUAUUAUUUGGCAGCGUUGACUGUUUGACAAUGAAUAAGUUACGUGUAUAUAUUAUAUAUUACGUAAUGUGGUUACUUUUGUCAUGAUGUCUCACGUUGGUGACGUUCCAAUUGCCUAUUGGUUCCAUCUUUUAGAUUUUUCCAAUUUAACAGACAAAGACAUGUUAGUUGACAAAGAAAAUGACAAAGACAAAGACAAAGACAUGUUGUUAAUGUCAGAUUUAUACAAUAAAAACUUCAUUACCUAAAAUAAACAGUACAAAACAAAACUCAACUAACAAUGGGAAAGCGAGUCGGGUUGAGUUCUGAAUUCUGAUACUCGGAGACCCGGUUUUGAAUCAAAAGCCCACAAACCCAAAAAGGCCCAUAAGUAAAAUGACAUUUUCUCUUUACGGCCCAUUCGUAUUGGGUCACCUCCACUGCAACCUCCAAAACGAUAUCUCGCCGCCUGUCGACGACGACGUCUGCUUUGCUUUGCACCGUAAGUAUCAACUUAGAAGAAGCGUUUUAGCUCAAUCCUUAGAUCCGAUGGAGGUUUGUGGCGUAGAUUCUGAAGGGAAGGAGUUUAACAGCGCACAAGAGAUGUGGAGAGAAGAAAUUGGAGAAGAAGGAGAUGAAACGAAGAAGACCCAAUGGUACAGAGACGGAGUUUCUUACUGGGAAGGUGUUGAAGCUUCUGUUGAUGGAGUAUUGGGAGGAUACGGGCAUGUGAAUGAUGCUGAUAUUAUAGGAAGUGAGGUCUUUCUCAAGACCCUUUUGCAAGAAAGAUUAGUGAAUGGAGAAACAAAUCAACAUCUAGUGGCUCUUGAUUGUGGAUCUGGCGUUGGAAGGAUCACCAAGAAUCUUCUGAUACGGUACCUUAACGAGGUUGAUCUUGUCGAGCCUGUAGCUCAGUUCCUCGAUGCGGCACGUGAAAAUCUCGCAUCUACGGGCUCAGAAACGCACAAAGCAGCUAACUUUUUCUGUGUACCUCUUCAGGAGUUUACUCCAGCUGAUCAGAGGUACGAUGUCAUAUGGGUUCAGUGGUGCAUUGGGCAUCUCACUGACGAUGAUUUUGUUUCUUUCUUUAACCGAGCAAAGGGAUGCCUUAAACCCGGUGGGUUUUUUGUUGUGAAAGAGAAUCUCGCUAAGCAAGGAUUUGUUUUGGAUAAAGAGGAUCGUAGCAUCACCAGAUCGGAUCCCUACUUUAAACAGCUCUUUCGUCGAUGUGGGUUACAUCUCUAUCAAACAAAGGAUCAGAAGGGUCUUCCGAAAGAGUUAUUUGCUGUAAAAAUGUAUGCUUUAACGGUUGAUACACCACCCAAAGUCCACAGAACCAGAUCGAAAACUAGCAGCAACAGACCACAAAUUAUCAAAUGACAGUCUUGUUUUUUUUUUUUAUGUGCGAAAUUCUAGACUUUAUUUAAUGAAAGAAGCUACCUAAGUUAUUGUAAGAUCCGUGGAGCAAGGCUUGGUUGCUUCGAGGUCAAAGAACUUGCGUAGAAGAUCUGUAGUGGUGUGGGGUGUUUUGCUGGUGUUUUUGCAAUUGCGGAUUGCUUUUGGCUAGAGCAACUUGUUAGCGUUUGAGGCUUUUUGCUGGUUCUAUAUCUAACGGUUUAUUGUGCAAAAAUCCAUGUAGAGUGUCAUUGUUGUUUCCAAUUCUCCGCUCAGGUGUUAAGCGUUGGUUUAGGGCUUCUGCUGCUGUGUUAUAAUGGGAUCAAAAUCUCGUAUGCUAUUGUCUUUGUAUAUAUUGUCUUUAGAUA